GCACUCCAGCAAACUCUGCCUCUGCCUUCAUGCUGAGCCAGGGCAAAAACUGUGCUACAGUGACUCAAAGUGUAUCCAGAUGAGCCUUCAGAAUCAUUGGGGCUUGUCCCUACAACUUUGACACAUUG
This is a small nucleolar RNA of Paramormyrops kingsleyae, 128 nucleotides long. Ensembl annotates it as small nucleolar RNA SNORA55. The record is from Ensembl. Lineage: Eukaryota; Metazoa; Chordata; Actinopteri; Osteoglossiformes; Mormyridae.